Molecule: ribosomal RNA, 838 nt
Filed under: Pseudomonas extremaustralis
Lineage: Bacteria; Pseudomonadati; Pseudomonadota; Gammaproteobacteria; Pseudomonadales; Pseudomonadaceae
Description: bacterial SSU rRNA
Rfam family: Bacterial small subunit ribosomal RNA
Source: RNAcentral
GGCAGGCCUAACACAUGCAAGUCGAGCGGUAGAGAGAAGCUUGCUUCUCUUGAGAGCGGCGGACGGGUGAGUAAUGCCUAGGAAUCUGCCUGGUAGUGGGGGAUAACGUUCGGAAACGGACGCUAAUACCGCAUACGUCCUACGGGAGAAAGCAGGGGACCUUCGGGCCUUGCGCUAUCAGAUGAGCCUAGGUCGGAUUAGCUAGUUGGUGAGGUAAUGGCUCACCAAGGCGACGAUCCGUAACUGGUCUGAGAGGAUGAUCAGUCACACUGGAACUGAGACACGGUCCAGACUCCUACGGGAGGCAGCAGUGGGGAAUAUUGGACAAUGGGCGAAAGCCUGAUCCAGCCAUGCCGCGUGUGUGAAGAAGGUCUUCGGAUUGUAAAGCACUUUAAGUUGGGAGGAAGGGCAGUUACCUAAUACGUGAUUGUUUUGACGUUACCGACAGAAUAAGCACCGGCUAACUCUGUGCCAGCAGCCGCGGUAAUACAGAGGGUGCAAGCGUUAAUCGGAAUUACUGGGCGUAAAGCGCGCGUAGGUGGUUUGUUAAGUUGGAUGUGAAAUCCCCGGGCUCAACCUGGGAACUGCAUUCAAAACUGACUGACUAGAGUAUGGUAGAGGGUGGUGGAAUUUCCUGUGUAGCGGUGAAAUGCGUAGAUAUAGGAAGGAACACCAGUGGCGAAGGCGACCACCUGGACUGAUACUGACACUGAGGUGCGAAAGCGUGGGGAGCAAACAGGAUUAGAUACCCUGGUAGUCCACGCCGUAAACGAUGUCAACUAGCCGUUGGGAGCCUUGAGCUCUUAGUGGCGCAGCUAACGCAUUAAGUUGACCGCCU